This 492-nucleotide ribosomal RNA is filed under the name uncultured bacterium. Its description in RNAcentral is "partial 16S ribosomal RNA". It matches the Rfam family "Bacterial small subunit ribosomal RNA", at positions 29 to 507 of the family's 1533-position model. The record is from RNAcentral.
AGUGAACGCUGGCGGUAGGCCUAAUACAUGCAAGUCGAACGGCCGCACAGUAAGCUCUCGCUCCUACGGUUGGCGACGGACGGAUGGGUGACGCAUACAUCGCAUUCUACUUUUUCGUGGGGGAUAACGGAGGGCAACUGACGCUAAUGCCGCAUACAACCUACGGGUUAAAGCAAUAGAUCUUCACAGCUUUCGCGUUUGUUUUAGCCGAUGCCGGGUUAGCUAGUUGGCUGGGUAACGGCCCACCAAGGCAACGCUGCGUAGCUGGGCUGAGAGGGUGAUCGGCCACACUGGAACUGAGACACGGUCCAGACUCCUACGGGAGGCAGCAGUAGGGAAUCUUCGGCAAUGGGCGAAAGCCUGACGGAGCCACACCGCGUGAGUGAAGAAGGUCUUCGGGUUGUAAAGCUCUGUUGUUGGGGAAGAAAAGCAGUAGAUGUAAACCCCGAUGUUCUGACGGUACCUAAAGAAAAAGCACCGGCUAACUACGUG